UACGUAGGGUGCGAGCAUUAAUCGGAAUUACUGGGCGUAAAGCGUGCGCAGGCGGUUUUGUAAGACAGGGGUGAAAUUCCCGGGCUUAACCUGGGGACUGCGUUUGUGACUGCCAGGCUAGAGUACGGCAGAGGGGGGUGGAAUUCCACGUGUAGCAGUGAAAUGCGUAGAGAUGUGGAGGAACACCAAUGGCGAAGGCAGCCCCCUGGG
RNAcentral lists this ribosomal RNA (210 nucleotides) under uncultured prokaryote. Its description in RNAcentral is "partial 16S ribosomal RNA". It matches the Rfam family "Bacterial small subunit ribosomal RNA", at positions 524 to 733 of the family's 1533-position model. The record is from RNAcentral.